CCUACGGGGGGCUGCAGUGGGGAAUAUUGGACAAUGGGGGCAACCCUGAUCCAGCCAUGCCGCGUGUGUGAAGAAGGCCCUCGGGUUGUAAAGCACUUUCAGUGAGGAAGAACGCCUGGUGGUUAAUACCCAUCAGGAAAGACAUCACUCACAGAAGAAGCACCGGCUAACUCCGUGCCAGCAGCCGCGGUAAUACGGAGGGUGCGAGCGUUAAUCGGAAUUACUGGGCGUAAAGCGCGCGUAGGUGGCUUGAUAAGCCGGUUGUGAAGGCCCCGGGCUCAACCUGGGAACGGCAUCCGGAACUGUCAAGCUAGAGUGCAGGAGAGGAAGGUAGAAUUCCCGGUGUAGCGGUGAAAUGCGUAGAGAUCGGGAGGAAUACCAGUGGCGAAGGCGGCCUUCUGGACUGACACUGACACUGAGGUGCGAAAGCGUGGGUAGCAAACAGGAUUAGAUACCCCAGUAGUC
This 465-nucleotide ribosomal RNA is filed under the name Vreelandella stevensii. Its description in RNAcentral is "partial 16S ribosomal RNA". It matches the Rfam family "Bacterial small subunit ribosomal RNA", at positions 338 to 795 of the family's 1533-position model. The record is from RNAcentral. Lineage: Bacteria; Pseudomonadati; Pseudomonadota; Gammaproteobacteria; Oceanospirillales; Halomonadaceae.